UCUUAAAUAUUUAUUGUCUCCCUUUUUUCAUACCAGUGUCCUUUGUUCUCUUGAAAUACAGGUGGUCACUUGGUCUCUGGGUGAGAUACUUGGGAGCUGUGCAGGAUGAUCUCAAGGAGCCUCUCAGCUGUGGAAUUCCCUAUCAGCAGAGACAGGGAACCAAGGUGAACACACCAGACGGACCAAGAACCCUGAACUCUCUGACCAGGAACCAUCAACAGGAACCUAGAGCCACUGCUCAGGAACUCGCCAUCAGGAACAGCUCCGCCAAAGACAGGAUCAGGAACGAUGUAGAUUCCUGCAGAAGUGGAGUCCAGUUGAAGAGACACAGAUGGGAUUUGGGGGCAAAGGAGCUGCAGAACUGGCAAGACUGGAGCAGGACAAAAAGUAACAAGUGGCAAGAUUCAGGAGUUGGAUGUACUAUAAAUGUUUAUUUGAAGAAAUGUAUUGAUUGAAGUUCCUGCAUAUAGAGAAUUUUAGAACAACAACUCCAUUACAACUUUCUGACAAAUAUCAAGAAUUGGCUCUAUAGAUAAGUAAUUUUUCUUCUGUUUCCAACCUAGGAGGCCUUUUAAAGUAUAAAUAAUGGUACCCUGUCUCUUAAGUAUAAAUAGUUCUUCUGCUUAAUAUGUUAUGUCUCAGUAACAGCGCUGUUCUGCAUAAUCAUUAUUCCCUACAGGUUUAAAAACAAUGCCAAAAACAAACAAACAAAAACCUACCUAAUGGAUUAGAACCCUCUAAGCAGAGCAGGGAAACAGAAAUUGGUACAAUUUACUUUAAAACAUUUUUACUUCUGGCAAAAUGGACCAAUAUUCCAUCAAAAAGAUGAGAAAAGUAAAAAAAAAAAAAGUAAGUGGUACAAAUAAGACAUUAUUAUAAGAAGUUGGCAGAGUAGCUGAGGAAUAAUGGAAGAUAGAAAGACAUAGGAUGUGGGGGAAAAGAGUAAAUGGUUAUUUUAGAAAAAUUGGUUGAUACAGCUUGAGGUAGGAAUGCAAAACUGAAUUGUAGGUUGUAAACAUUGAUGUUCAGUGUACUGAUUUGGGAGGCAAAAGGAUAGAAAUUACUGAAGGAAUUCAAAUUACAUGGUGUUCCUGCUACUUAAAUAAGGGAGAUACCUAAUAAGAGCACAGUGCUGAGGUAGUUUAACAAAAAGCCUUGAUUAAUAAGCAUCAGUCGUCUUCACUUGAUAUUUCAUCUUUCUAAUUAUAUGUAUUUGAGACCAGCAUGUAACCUUCCACUUUAGCUGUGGACUGCUCAGAUGUACAGUAGAUUGUUAAUUCAAACCGAGCCACAAACAAAUUUUGUUUUAGUUGUGUGUGUAUAUAUUGCUAGAAGAAUACUUCCUAAAGAUUGUACAGUAGCUUCCUGCAGUCUUGGUUUGAGAAAUUUAUCCAGUCUUAAAAAAAUUGUCUCAUGCUUUUAUAUGUCAGUUUCACAACAUUUAUGGAAAUUUCA
Molecule: long non-coding RNA, 1455 nt
Filed under: Chrysemys picta bellii (western painted turtle)
Lineage: Eukaryota; Metazoa; Chordata; Testudines; Emydidae
Description: lncRNA (ENSCPBG00000017368.1)
Source: RNAcentral